RNAcentral lists this non-coding RNA (87 nucleotides) under Zooxanthella nutricula. Lineage: Eukaryota; Dinophyceae; Peridiniales. The record is from RNAcentral.
UGUGCUCAUCACAUCCCAGGCUGUAAAUGAGCGCUUGGAAGCGUCCCUCGAAGGAGAGUCGGACGGCAUCAGGCUGGCAAAGAGCAU